AUCCAUCCCAGGGCAGCCCCUUUCCCCCACCUGCCAAGCCCAAGUGUGUGCUCCUUGCCCACCGUCGGUUUCUGGAGUCUGCGGGUGGGUGUUUAGAUAGCGCCAUCCGUUGCGGCGUUUAGAGUCCACCAACAGGUGAUGUCCUAGGGCACUUGUCUUUGCCUUUCUGGCUUCCUUCGCUUAGUAUGAGGGUCUCUCGUUCCAGCCCCGCGGCGGCAGAUGGCACUCGUUCUGCCGCUUUUUCCUGGCUGUGUGCGAUGCCAUCGCAUGGAUGUCCCCGGGCCUUCGAAGUGCACUCACCUGUCAGUGGACCUUUAGGUGGCUUCCAGAUCUUGGCUCUGCCCCGCGGCGGCAGAUGGCACUCGUUCUGCCGCUUUUUCCUGGCUGUGUGCGAUGCCAUCCCCGGGCCUUCGAAGUGCACUCACCUGUCAGUGGACCUUUAGGUGGCUUCCAGAUCUUGGCUCUGGUGAGUAGUGCGGCGACAGACAGAGGGUGCCCGGGUCUGCUUCCGGGAAAGUUUGGUCCCGGUGAAAUGGAGCUGUUUGGAGGCCGGCUUCGGUCUUUGUGUG
Molecule: long non-coding RNA, 569 nt
Filed under: Sus scrofa (pig)
Lineage: Eukaryota; Metazoa; Chordata; Mammalia; Artiodactyla; Suidae
Description: lncRNA (ENSSSCG00070012130.1)
Source: RNAcentral